RNAcentral lists this ribosomal RNA (513 nucleotides) under Phoma herbarum. RNAcentral describes it as "eukaryotic LSU rRNA". The stretch from base 148 to 301 matches the Rfam family "5.8S ribosomal RNA". The record is from RNAcentral. Lineage: Eukaryota; Fungi; Ascomycota; Dothideomycetes; Pleosporales; Didymellaceae.
AAGUAUUCCUAGCGAUUGUAGGCUUUGCCUGCUAUCUCUUACCCGGGCCCUUGAGUACUUACGUUUCCUCGGUGGGUUCGCCCACCGAUUGGACAAACUUAAACCCUUUGCAGUUGAAAUCAGCGUCUGAAAAAACUUAAUAGUUACAACUUUCAACAACGGAUCUCUUGGUUCUGGCAUCGAUGAAGAACGCAGCGAAAUGCGAUAAGUAGUGUGAAUUGCAGAAUUCAGUGAAUCAUCGAAUCUUUGAACGCACAUUGCGCCCCUUGGUAUUCCAUGGGGCAUGCCUGUUCGAGCGUCAUUUGUACCUUCAAGCUCUGCUUGGUGUUGGGUGUUUGUCUCCUGUAAACUCGCCUUAAAACAAUUGGCAGCCGGCGUAUUGAUUUCGGAUCGCAGUACAUCUCGCGCUUUGCACUCAUAACGACGACGUCCAAAAGUACAUUUUUACACUCUUGACCUGGGAUCACGAAGGGAUACCCGCUGAACUUAUCCACAUGUUCAACUACGAGAAAA